UACGGAGGAUGCGAGCGUUAUCCGGAUUUAUUGGGUUUAAAGGGUGCGUAGGCGGGCUGUUAAGUCAGCGGUCAAAUGUCGGGGCUCAACCCGCGGACGGCACAUGAUACUGCGAGACUAGAGUAAUGGAGGGGGAACCGGAAUUCUCGGUGUAGCAGUGAAAUGCGUAGAUAUCGAGAGGAACACUCGUGGCGAAGGCGGGUUCCUGGACAUUAACUGACGCUGAGGCACGAAGGCCAGGGGAGCGAAAGGG
RNAcentral lists this ribosomal RNA (253 nucleotides) under uncultured bacterium. RNAcentral's name for it is "partial 16S ribosomal RNA". It matches the Rfam family "Bacterial small subunit ribosomal RNA", at positions 524 to 776 of the family's 1533-position model. The record is from RNAcentral.